RNAcentral lists this microRNA precursor (62 nucleotides) under Pristionchus pacificus. RNAcentral's name for it is "microRNA ppc-mir-8218b precursor". Lineage: Eukaryota; Metazoa; Nematoda; Chromadorea; Rhabditida; Neodiplogasteridae. The record is from miRBase by way of RNAcentral.
CGAGGGCCACCAGGGUCUGAGCUAUAGCAAAAGAAUGUCGCUCAGCCGUGAUGACCCUCAAG